GGGCAACCCUGGCGGCGAGCGGCGAACGGGUGAGUAAUGUAUCGGAACGUACCCAGUCGUGGGGGAUAACUAUCCGAAAGGAUAGCUAAUACCGCAUACGACCUGAGGGUGAAAGCGGGGGACCGAAAGGCCUCGCGCGAUUGGAGCGGCCGAUAUCGGAUUAGCUAGUUGGUGAGGUAAAGGCUCACCAAGGCGACGAUCCGUAGCUGGUCUGAGAGGACGACCAGCCACACUGGAACUGAGACACGGUCCAGACUCCUACGGGAGGCAGCAGUGGGGAAUUUUGGACAAUGGGGGCAACCCUGAUCCAGCCAUUCCGCGUGAGUGAAGAAGGCCUUCGGGUUGUAAAGCUCUUUCAGCAGGAACGAAACGGUGGUCCUUAAUACGGGCUACUAAUGACGGUACCUGAAGAAGAAGCACCGGCUAACUACGUGCCAGCAGCCGCGGUAAUACGUAGGGUGCGAGCGUUAAUCGGAAUUACUGGGCGUAAAGCGUGCGCAGGCGGUUAUAUAAGACAGAUGUGAAAUCCCCGGGCUUAACCUGGGAACUGCGUUUGUGACUGUAUAACUUGAGUGUGGCAGAGGGGGGUGGAAUUCCACGUGUAGCAGUGAAAUGCGUAGAGAUGUGGAGGAACACCGAUGGCGAAGGCAGCCCCCUGGGUCAACACUGACGCUCAUGCACGAAAGCGUGGGGAGCAAACAGGAUUAGAUACCCUGGUAAUCCACGCCCUAAACGAUGCGAACUAGGUGUUGGGGAAGGAGACUUUCUUAGUACCGCAGCUAACGCGUGAAGUUCGCCGCCUGGGGAGUACGGUCGCAAG
RNAcentral lists this ribosomal RNA (820 nucleotides) under uncultured bacterium. RNAcentral describes it as "bacterial SSU rRNA". It matches the Rfam family "Bacterial small subunit ribosomal RNA", at positions 77 to 892 of the family's 1533-position model. The record is from RNAcentral.